UACGGGGGGGGCAAGCGUUGUUCGGAAUUACUGGGCGUAAAGGGCUCGUAGGCGGCCAACUAAGUCAGACGUGAAAUCCCCAGGCUUAACUUGGGAACUGCGUCUGAUACUGGGUGGCUUGAGUUCGGGAGAGGAAUGUGGAAUUCCAGGUGUAGCGGUGAAAUGCGUAGAUAUCUGGAGGAACACCGGUGGCGAAGGCGGCAUUCUGGACCGAAACUGACGCUGAGGCGCGAAAGCCAGGGGAGCAAACGGG
RNAcentral lists this ribosomal RNA (253 nucleotides) under uncultured bacterium. RNAcentral's name for it is "partial 16S ribosomal RNA". It matches the Rfam family "Bacterial small subunit ribosomal RNA", at positions 524 to 776 of the family's 1533-position model. The record is from RNAcentral.